Molecule: ribosomal RNA, 253 nt
Filed under: uncultured bacterium
Lineage: Bacteria
Description: partial 16S ribosomal RNA
Rfam family: Bacterial small subunit ribosomal RNA
Source: RNAcentral
UACAUAGGGCCCGAGCGUUGUUCGGAUUCAUUGGGCGUAAAGGGUGCGUAGGCGGCGGGGCAAGUCUGAUGUGAAAUCCCGGGGCUCAACCCCGGAACUGCAUUGGAUACUGCCUUGCUUGAGUACUGGAGAGGGAACUGGAAUUUACGGUGUAGCAGUGAAAUGCGUAGAGAUCGUAAGGAAGGCCAGUGGCGAAGGCGAGUUCCUGGACAGUGACUGACGCUGAGGCACGAAGGCCAGGGGAGCAAACGGG